Molecule: long non-coding RNA, 11064 nt
Organism: Dreissena polymorpha
Lineage: Eukaryota; Metazoa; Mollusca; Bivalvia; Myida; Dreissenidae
Exons: 6
Source: RefSeq, a predicted model, not a curated record
AUAUAUAUAGUUUCAGAUUGGGUAAAAUGGUGGGUCAAACGUCCAUUUUACCGCCGUAUUGUUGGGUCUUUAGUCGAUUGUCGGGUCCCAAAGUCGAUUAUCGGGCACUUGGACCCGACAGUUGAAGACCCACUUAAUAAAAGGCUGCUUAACAUCCUCAUGACUAUUUUUUAAUUCAAAUUUGCGUAUGUAAUUUUACUCGAAUUGUCGGGCCUAUAUCUCCCAUUCGCAAACUUUAGAUCAAACUCCUCACGGCAGUUACUUCCCUUGGGCAUCUUCUAGAAUAAGGGAGGCCACUGAGCCCUUUUCGGAAAGUCGCAUAUCUCCCCUGAGUAUUCUCCGGAAUUGGAGGUUCUCAAUCGCUGGCAUUCGGUACCCCUCGCAGAUUAUCAUAAUACUUAUCCGAUGUUUGACGGAAAGGGCCGAGAAUGUGCGAUUGAAUCGCUGGGUAGUAUUGAUUUCCAGUAACAAUGGCGUCGAAUGAGAAAGAAAACGAUCGUUAUCUGUCUGACAUCGAAAUUGACAAAUUAAGUGUUGCACAAUUGAAGGAUUAUUUACGAUUUCAUAAUCAUUAUGUGUCAGGGAAUAAGAAUGAACUUGUCUUGAGGACAAAAGGCGUACAAAAGCUAGGAUUAAAUGAUCGACAGCUGCACAGGAAUGCGGAAGUAAAUUAUGAAAAAAGGAAAACAGAAAAACUUUUUACGCCACUCGGUGAAAAGCUGCCACAUCCAGAUGUAUUAAAAACGUUGAGUAGUGACUUAAUGGACUUUCCUACAUUAAUAGAUAGUGACAUCUACAAUUAUUUUGUGCUGAAAAUGAACACACAAAAACAAUUGAGAUCAAAAAAUUGUAUUAUGUUUACAGACAUAAACACAGUAUUUUGUACCAUGACAUAAGUGACAAAUGGGAACAUUGUUUUGUUAAAUGCAAAGUAUUACCAUCACUACCGAGUGCAAAUGUGAAAGAAAACCCAGAUCACAGUGUGUGGCUCUGUCUGUCAAAGGUCACUGGACAGGUUCAUUCAGCGGAAUGUAAUUGCACAGCCGGGAGCGGAGAAGCAUGUAUCCAUAUUGGUGCAUUUAUGUAUGCCCUUUCUGAUCUCACUGCUAAAAAGAAGGACGGCACUCUAAGAUCAACCUCAAAAAAAUGCGUGUGGGACAGAUUUAAUAAUCCCCGGAAAAGAAAGCGAACGCCUAAAAAGUCUAGCGAAUUUACAUUUCGGAAACAUACCUUUGAGUCAAAAUUAGAGCCAGUCGAAAAUAACACCAGAAAAGAACUUCUUGCGAUUUCUGUAAAUGAGAACAGUUUCCGUUCAAAACUCGAAAAUAUGCAACCCAACAGCUGGAUGGCUUUUGAACUUUGUAGAAGAGAAGGAAGAGGUGAAAUUACCAAAGUUUAUAGAAAUUGGAUAUAACUUUAGUGAUAGCGUAGAUCUGAAUAGUGAAACUGUGAAGGAUAAAAUGUCGAAAAUGAUGGAUAUGCUACAAAUGGAUGAACUUGAAUGCCAAAGUAUUGAAAAAUUAACCAGAGGUCAGGGAAAGAACGUACUUUGGGAAGAUGAAAGAAAAUUACGUGUAACUGCAUCCAAUUUUGGUGAAGUAAUUUUACUGAAACAAGAGACUGAAAGAUUUAAAAGAAAUUGAGUGCAAUCUUUAAAGAAUAGUAACAAAUAUGAAUUUAAGAUCACAAUUGUGAAUUUCUCGCAAGCUUACCCUUGCUCCUAGAAUAUGUUUUUAUAAUUUUGAUGUCUCACUUUUCUCUAGAGAUUAACCCUUUACUUCUUAAAUAUGUAUUUUCAAGCUUUUGUAGUUCCUUAAAAAGUUAAAUGUAAUAAAGUACCUUUAUUACUAAAUUUAAGUUUUAAAGGCUUCAUUUCCAACCCUUAAAUACUGAUGAGCAGCAAACAGUAUAAAACCUGAACAGACUGCGAGUUACUAGCAUGCUGUUCUGGUUUUAUGCUGUUUUCACUGUGCUUCCAAGUGGAAUAGGGUUAAAUAACAAAAGUUAACGCCAGAUCAGAAAAUAAUUUAAGUAACAACAGUACAGGACAUCAUUGAGGUCCCUCCUUUUUUAUGUUUCAAUAGUCAUUUAGCUCUACAAAGCAUAUAAAUAUUGUACAUAAAAGUGUAUGAAUGUAUAAAUAUUUAUCAACUGUUCAUAUUAUGAAUUUUACAGUAGUACAUGUAGAAUGCUUUUCAACGAUUUGUGUACGGUUCAUUAAUACCAUCACAACGUGAUUGUCAAUUGUUAUUCCGCUAAAUUGAUUUGCUCUUAAAAUGAUAAAUCAUAAAAAGAACUUUUGCUAUGUUAUUAUCCAUCACUUAUUACCUUACCUGUGUUUGGAGAAAAACCGAAGGGUUUACGAUAAUAAUCUGUUUCAAAAUGUUAAAAUGAUAUGAAAUUAAUGAGUGGCAAGCAUGAACCAAAUUAAGAAAAUCAACACAGAGGUAUCAACAGCUGCAUCUUAUUAAAAAUCUGUGCACAAUGCUUUUUGUCCAAGUAUAGAUCAUUUCAGAACCCCAUUGAGUUAAUAGACACCUUGGAAGCUUUGCUGGUAUGACUUCUGCUUUACAUCUGACAAGUACUCUGCAGGUGUUGCUACUUGUAUCAGAAAUCUUGGUUUUAAACAAGAGCUGUCACCAUAGGAUGACUUAUGCCCCCUAUAUACGCUUGAUAGAAGUUAUGAGCAUUUUCCCAAACCUAAAUGCAUAUUUCGAAACCUAAACACGGACCCUAAGUUUAAGGUCAAGGUCACAGGGGUCAAAGUUUGUGUGCAUAUGGAAAGGCCUUGACCAUAUACACAUGCAUGCCAAAUAUGAAAAUGCUAUCUGAAGCGACAUAGAAGUUAUGAGCAUUUUUCGAAACCUAAACGCAAAGUGUGACGGACAGACCGACAGACAGUCCGAUCACUAUAGCGACAUAGAAGUUAUGAGCUUUUUUCGAAACCUAAAUGCAUAUUCGAAACCUAAACGCGGACCCUUAGUUUAAGGUCAAGGUCACAGGGGUCAAAAUUUGUGUGCGUAUGGAAAAGCUUUGUCCAUAUACACAUGCAUGCCAAAUAUGAAAUUGCUAUCCAAAGCGACAUAGCAGUUAUGAGGAUUUUUCGAAACCUAAACGCAAAGUGUGACGGACGGACAGACCGACAGACAGUCUGAUCACUAUAUGCCCUCCUUCGGGGGCAUAAAAAUUCUUGACGGGUUUAUUGCUCCCAAUUAUAAAUUAACUGUUGAUUAAGUCUUCAGUAGCAGUACUAAACCUUAAAGACAAACAUUUACUUAGGUAUACAAAAGAAAUCUGUGUUUUCAACGCUCUGUGUCAAUUAAUGUAUGUAAACUUGAAUCCAGUACAAUAUUUAUCAGAAUUUCAGUCUUAUAAUUUGUUUGGUCUUACAAAACUGCUUUCAAGCAAGAAAACAUGUAUAAAUAUAUUGGCACAAACACACAAACGCAGAAACACAAUUUUCUUUUUUUGCCUGAAAAUGUUUGUAUGGAAUAUGAGACAAGAAAAUAAUAAUCAGUAACAAUUUUAUUUUCACAAAUGAAAGCUGACUGUAAAAUGUGAAAUUAAGUAUUAUUCACAUAAUUACAUAGUAUAUUACUUAUACAUACAUGCAAUGGUCAAACACUUCUAGUUAAAUUGUAUACUGAAUUUCUCACAAAGUUCACUUGUUCAGCUUCUUAUCAAACUUAAUUUGUACUAGUUUUAAGGAGCCACUUUUCCAGUUUAUAUUAGCAUGACUAUUUUCAGUUUAUAAACACACUUUAUUUUCCGGGGACAGGUUUUUCGUGCUAACCCUGCUUUCAUUCCAACACUGACCUCAUCAAAUAAACACUCAAAAGUUCCAGCAGUUGGGAUACCAGUGUAGAACAACACCUUAUCGUCAUCAUCCCUUAUAUCCUCAAAGGUGAAGCUAGGCCGAUCCACUUGUAUCCCAACUGUCGACGUUUCAGUAGAAGUCUGGGUUGAUAUACUUCUGGGAACUCUCGUAUCGUCGGUUUGAGUAACCACAGAAAUCAGCUCCGGUUGCACUUGUUCACACUGAUGACGGAUUAUGGCGGGUACUGGUGUAAACCUUCCAUAGUCAUGGAGCUGAAAUAAAUAAAUACAUUUUUACAAGCAAAGUAAAUGCAGUUUGAAGUAAAGAUUAUAGGUCUUUCUGUAUUUUACUAAGGCAUCACCAAACUGAUAACUUCUUCAGUUUUUUUCUUUAAAAAUGGGAAGAGCAUGAAAAACAACUAUCUAUUUAUACUGCCAAGUGCCCUUUCGAGCAUGGUAGGCAGACAUGGACAUUAUCGAGUCGGUUUCCUGGGAAGAACCAGUACUUGGUGUCCAUGGAGGAGAUAAUUAGAAUGCUUCCCAAGUAAGGAGUGAACCCACUAACACCCGAUCGCUAGGCGGAUAUCUCAUCCACUACAACACCGCGACCUUGAACUACAAAUAUUUUUUUAUGUCCCCCACUAUAGAAGUGGGGGACAUAUUGUUUUUGCCCUGUCUGUUGGUUGGUCUGUUGGUUGGUUGGUUUGCGCCAACUUAAACAUUUUGCAAUAACUUUUGCUAUAUUGAAUAUAGCAACUUGAUAUUUGGCAUGCAUGAGUAUCUCAUGGAGCUGCACAUUUUGAGUGGUGAAAGGUCAGAGGUCAAAUAUAUGUGGCCUAAAUUGCUCAUUUUAUGAAUACUUUUGCAAUAUUGAAGAUAGCAACUCGAUAUUUGGCAUGCAUGUGUAUCUCAUGGAGCUGCACAUUUUGAGUGGUGAAAGGUCAAAGUCAAGGUCAUCCUUCAAGGUCAGAGGUAAAACAUAUUUGUCCCAAAUCGCUUAUUUUAUUAAUACUUUUGAAAUAUUGAAGAUAGCAACUUGAUAUUUGGCAUGCAUGUGUAUCUCAUGGAGCUGCACAAUUUGAGUGGUGAAAGGUCAAGGUCAUCCUUCAAGGUCAAGGUCAUCCUUAAAGGUCAAAUAUAUGGGUCAAAAUUGCUCAUGUAAUGUCACUUCUGCAAUAUUGAAGCUAGCAAUUUUAUAUUUGAAAUGCAUGUGUAUCUCAUGGAGCUGCACAUUUUGAGUGGUGAAGGGUCAAGGUCAUCCUUCAAGGUCAAACAUUAUUUAGGGGGACAUUGUGUUUCACAAACGCAUCUUGUUUCAAAUUAUCUUUAUUCAACAACAUUUUGUAUAACGAUAAAACAACUCACUCUUAGAGAUACGUCUAGUAGUGAUGCACUGCUUUCAACCAACAAACCAUCUGCCUCGUUCUCGAAACUCAAGUCUGGUGAACGGUUAUCUGACAUUUCCUCAGUUUCUGGUGUGGAAUUCGUCUCAUCUGCUUCAGGGCCAUUUUCCAGAGUCUGUAAGGUAAACAAAUAAAAUUAAAUCAGCACAUCAAAGACCUAGAAAUACACAUACUUUUUCAAACUAACAUGAAAGAAUGAUGUUCAGAUACGUAAUAUUUAUGCUUCUGUAUCAUGUUGUAAACACCGUCAGAUUCUAUACCGAUAGAGUAACUGACCCAUGUUCAUUCUUGAAACCUCGUAUAGCCUAGUGGCAACAUAUCCGCUUCAAAAUAUCAGAUACCAUUGGUUCGAUCCUCGGCUGUGAGCUACAUAAAAUAAAUCAUGAACUGUGCCAUGGGUAUGUCUGCCAUUAUCCCAUGCUUGAUUGUACCACAAGGAAUCACUGAUUUGAAUAGUAAGCUCGAUUUAAUAAUCCAUCGGAAUCGUUUUAAGGUGAUAAUCUGAUUACACGCAGUGCGCAAUCUGAUUAUGUGAUGACUUAAAUUAGUAUAAGUAUUAAUAUGAUUUAAUAAGAAUAGUAUAUGUGCCUUUUAUACACGCGUUCAAUGCCAUAAUACCGGUAAAAUCAUAAGUUGAUUUAGAUAUCAGUACAUUAAAUAAAUGUCUAUAUAUUAUAAUCAUACAAUACGCAAUUUUACAAUGCCGAAGUAAUGUUAUUUACUGAAAUAAGAUCUAUUUUCGCAUGACACUGGCUGUAUAGCAAGUAGUCUUAUAUAAAUAAGAGCAACAUUACUUCAAGCACGUACACUUAACAAAAAGAGUUCUCCGUUUAAAAAUGAUGGUAUUAAGGUGUUACUAAAUAUAAAAUACCCAACAGCGGGCGAGCGUUUAAUGCACUUUGCGCUUGAUGAAUAAUGUUAUACAAUUAUUAUGGGCAAAUUUAUAAUUUCAAAACAUUAUUAGUUGUUGAUGUUAUUCGCGUUCAAUAAAUACAUCAGUUCUUCUUAUCAACCUGAUGCCUGUUGCCUGCUACAGUUUCUUAUCAUAAUUGUAUAAACUACAAUACACCAUCAGCGGCCGAGAGCAGAAUACCGGCCGCUAAAUAAAUUGUGACUUGCAUCAAAUCUCAGGUCAAAUUUCGAUUGUUUUACAAUAAAAUACUAAUAUUUUAUAAUGUCAAGCACGUGCACUUAAUAAAAUACGAUAUGUCUUUAUUUAUUGUAGAAUUUUGCAAAAGUAAAGCGCUUUAUAUAUAGCAAUGUUUUAUUAUUUCUUUCUAGUUACGUAAAUAAACAAAACAUAAUUAUGUAUAUAACAUUUAAUAUUUGUACAUAAUUUAUAAAAAUAAAUACAAUGAAACGUGAUGUUUGUGAAGUGCGCGUGACAUUGAACUUCGAGUUAAGCGAAAGAUGCGAAUUAAAUUACACAUAAUUAAAAACUGAUACUAUUCUGUCAGCAUGUUUUAUACUCCAUCGCGCCAAUAAAUUCAUCAAAUUGUGUAUACAAGCAAAACGAUGGAAAUUAUGACAGAAACCCAGCUUUUCAAAUAAAAUGACCCUUAACAUAACGCUAGCAGACCCGAAUGAAUAUACUUUAUUUGAGUCGUGUUCUGAGAAAACUGUGCAUAAUGCAUGUGCUUAAAGUGUCGUCCCAGAUUAGCCUGUACAAUCCGCACGAAUUAUCAGGGACGGCACUUUCCGCUUUUAUGACAUUUUUCGUUUAAAUGAAGUGUCUUUUUAGCAAAAAUCCAAUUUAGGGUCGACACUUUACGCACAUGCAUUAUGCCCAUUAUUCCCAGAACGCGACUCAUUUAAUCCAAUCAGGUAAAUAACAAAUACAAUAAUAAAACAGGGGAAGUCUACACUGUGUAUUAGCAACCUGCUGUGGUGAAUAUAUCUUAUCAGCUAAAUACACAGGCACCUGGCUACUGUACUGGAAAAAUUGGAUUUACUGCCAAAAUAAUUGAUUUCAUUUAUGGCUAAAUUGUUGUGUACAUGUAAAAUUAAAAACGAGGAUGUAUCCACAUCACCGUUGCACAUUGUUAUUAAUUUCACAGUUAUCUGUUCUUUAUUAGAGAUAGCCUAAUUAAAGACGGCGCUAAUAAAAUGUGAAGGUGGAUAUAAAGAAAUAAGGUCAAUUUCCGCACUGACAGUAUAGCAAGUAGUCUUAUAUAACAUAUUAAAAAUAUUCCAUGGUUAAAAAUGCACGAUGUUAUAUAGUAAAAGAGUGUGUUUGAGUAAUCAAUAGGAUAUUUUGUAUUGGCUAUAUUGUUUCACUCGUAAAGAAAAUACCAAAAUCGACGUGCGAAACGUAAAAAUUUAUAUCUGAAAUAAUAUUGUUAAGGGCGUUAAGCUAGUUAAAAAUAAUCACGAUUAUUUACUAUGUAUAAAUUAGAUAAAACGUUAAGAUGUAAAUUCUUAUCAUAAAUAUAAAAUGCACAUAAUAUUAUAAUAUUCAUUCAUAUUUCAUUAUUUCAGGUAAAAGUACAAACAUAUUGUUUUAAAUCCUAUGUAAUCAGCACUUUAUGUUGGAUUUCAACAAUGCUUAAUUAAUUAUCGGGUGUAGCAGCGGUGUACAUUACCCAUAUGAUAUAACGCAAAGGUAACGGUCAAGCGACUUCCCACAUUUAUAUGACAUGUUUUAUUAUCGUUAUCAGGUAUCUGUUAUGUGUCAACGGAUUAACGGACAUUGGUUGAUUACCCGAUAAUAUGCAAGUAUCAAAUGAUUUAGAUUCAUAAGUUAUGGGAAAACAUUAUAUGCCUGACCUGAAAAAUGUAAGUCAUAACAAAUAAUUAUAUUAUAAGUUCACUUACCAGAAUCACAACCUAAGUGUUGCCAUCGCUCGCAGGCAUCGCAAGAAACAGCACGUUGCCUCUGCCCAACUGUCUUUCCACAAUGUAUGCACUUUACCACUUCUGCCAUUGCAGAAACACAAAACUCACUUACUCUCACAGUAAAAUUAUUGUAUCCUACAUUUAAGAAGCACAAAUGUUUGAAAUAUUUAUAUAAAUUAGUUCAAUUUAUGAUUCACUGUGUGUGUUUCAGAGUUUAUUUACAGGUCCUACUGGCCUCUUCACGAGGUUAUGGUAGCCCGACCUGCCCCUGUGACCUCUCAGGGGAAAAAGAUUAAUUUAGAGCCAAAGUAGGUCAAAUUUACCCCGGCUUCCCGGGUAUUCGCCAAAUAAUUUAAUUUUAAAGAGAGUUUCGUGCACGUUGGCCAAUGAGACCUUAAUGUGUUAUUUACCGUAAGGUGGUGAUGAGGUGCGGAUCCCGCCGAGUGUCCCGCACACUACUUAUGUACAAGACACUCAACGCGACCCACAUACCAACACCACUCGGUAAGUAAGACCCGGAAUACACACACAUAACGCUCUCACAACCCCCCACUCAUAACGGGUGAUGUGUAUGAGAGUGCCACGCCCAUGUGUUCCGGGUCCCUUGAUGUUGAUCUGUGUAUGGUUGUGUAUAGUAUGUGGUAUGUGAUUGUUGUGCAUUUGUCUGGAGCGGAAGAGGAGAUGUCUGUCGGUUAUUUACGGUCGUCGGUCAGUCGUGAAGGGCUGUAUAUCGUUGCAGUUCCCAGAUCGCAGAACACGCCGCCCCCGCACAAGCGCACCCACGCCGAGCGAGCCCGAGCCCCCCCCCCCCCGCGCCCGCAUACGGCCCCGGCCCUAGCACCCAACCGCUGAAGACCCUCGAGACAAGCACCCUCAUCCACCCUCUCGCUGCGCGCGACAACAGAUCAGUCAAGAACCAACCAUGGAGCCCCCCAAAGCCCCACCCGGAGUCACCAUCGUUCUUUCCCACCCACCUGCCAAACAUCCAGACCAUGUAUCAAGCUGGGAUGUAUUUAUUUUGUAGUUAUGUUAUAUUUGCUAUUAUAAUUGGAUAGGUAAAGUAAAUAAAUGAUCUCAAAAUGCCGUUGUUAUAUCAUAUGAUUUAUUUAUGUUUUAUAUUAAUUUGUAAAACUCAUAGUAUUAUAGUUUAUGUCCCGUAUUCUAGCUUUCAUUUACCCAAGUGUGGUUAUUGUGCUCUCCGCCCCAUGAGAGGUGUUAGUGGGGGUUCGAGCAGGAUACAGGAAACGCCCCGAUUCCAGAGGCGCCCCUGGUUCUUUUAAGUGCCCGGUGUAUAGCACCGAUACACUGCACCCCCGUUUAACGUCUCUCGCGGAGGACAUAUUAGUACAUAGUGUUAGUAUCGGUACUUAUAUACAUGUGUAGUUCUGCUGUCUUGUGUCAUAUCUUACGGUAACGUGGGCUCUCUCUGUUGCUAUUUGGUAUAUAGUUUGAAUGUUAUUGCGAAGGGCAGGCUAGUUUUUGAAAGAUCAUGUAUUUGAUGAUAGAAGAAAGGGACUAUGUUUGUUUGAUUGGGCCGAUGACUAGUUCGUUGGGGGUAGAAAAUUUCUUUGUAAAUUCUUUCUUAUUGCUGUGUUAAGUGUCUUGUGAGACUGUGGUGUUGUAAGGGCCAGACUAGUUUUGAUAGGUCAUUUAUUUGAUGAAAGAAGAGAGGGCUGAGUUUGAGAUGAUAGUAAAUUUGGUAUUAGGGAGAGCGCACACGUUAGUGUUUCUGGUUAUAAAAGCAAAGACAGCAUUCCUAUGUGUUUUUGUAAUAUGCCAGGUUAGUAUCGUGGUCUGGUCUGGGGCAUAUGAUUCACUGAAAACUGCCCGCUUUAUAUACAGACAGCCCUCUUAAAUGAUCAGUCGCCAAAUACGCAAUCGCUCCGCCCACUAAGUUGUGUUUUCAUAAAACGCUUAUUCCAUUACUCCGUAAGUCUUUGUUUGUCGGACCAUGUGGCCGCAAUAAACGAAAUCUGAUUGAUUAUUACGUGAGUUUGAUUGACAGCUGGCGAGUGGUCAAUUACUUUAAAAAGAGCAUUGUUGUCUGGUUAAGCUUGUUAAUAACCUUAUGUAGUCUUUUAUCACGCCAAACUGUGAUACCAUAUGUCUUACUCAUAAAUCUGUGUCCAGACAAUCAAAGCAUGUCGGCAUAAUUAAUUUUCAUCAACUCACACUUUUACAAAACAUAACUAACACAAAAGCAUUCAAUUAUUCUUCUAUAUUUAAACCAAACUAUCAUACAAUAUGUCUGAUUAAAAAAUCUUUGAACAGAAAAUGAAAGCAUGCCGUCAAAUUAAACGUCGUUUAACAUUUCACGCUUGUUCAGAUUUCAGGGGCGAAUUGUCUUGGGGUGAGAUUUCUUUGGGGCGAGUUGUCUGAUUCCCAUUCCGAAUGGACUUUGAAAGAAACGAACGACAACUUUGUAAGAAAACCCGCCAAUGGGGCUCGCGACCAAUCGGAUGGAUGCUAUGCCUGCUGGGAUAGCCAUGCUCUUUUUCGACGCGGACAGUGGACCCGACAUGACCGACUUAACGGACUCGACGUGACGGACUCGACCUAAUCAAUUUUCUUUAUUCUUAGACUUAAGUCUAAGAAUUGUUUGGUGAAUACGGGCCUAGCAGAUUCUUUUGUGCACGAGAUGCGGUCAAAAAGAAGAAAAGACGAAAGAACCAAUCCAGACUUGGUGGCAGAGGAAAGUAUAAAAAAGAAUGCAGAUCUUGGUGGAUUUUGUGUGGAUACAAUUCCACCUAAAGGUAGAGGAGUUAGAACAGAAGUUCAUAGAAACAAGGGCGACUUUCUCCUUACCUAUCAUGGAGAAUUAAUCACAGGAGAAGAAGGCAAUAAAAGAGAACUAAUGUCUGUCUCUGUCUUCAGAUUCUUCUUUUCUUUCAAAGGGAAGCAGUGGUGCAUCGAUUCUACCCUGGAAGUCAAAAGUGGUCAGUUCUUGGGUCGACUUGUUAAUCAUGGCAAAGGCAAAGAACAAAACUGCAAAAUGAAAUGCAUAGAGGGU